Molecule: RNA transcript, 5284 nt
Organism: Phyllopteryx taeniolatus (common seadragon)
Lineage: Eukaryota; Metazoa; Chordata; Actinopteri; Syngnathiformes; Syngnathidae
Gene: cetp
Gene name: cholesteryl ester transfer protein, plasma
Exons: 18
Source: RefSeq, a predicted model, not a curated record
GGAUACUGUAAAUUCUGUUGGCAUAAUGAAAAUAUUGUAUAUAUACCGUAGUAUGCACUUUAAUACUGUAUGCAAGCAUCUUUACACAGGGGUUGUUUGUUAUUAAAUCAGUUAUUAUAUAAAUGGUAGAGACUGAGAUUCGACAUGAAACCGAGAUCUCUUGAAAACGAUUUGAACUGUAAUGAAUAAUUAUUUUAUAUAUAUAUAUAUAUAUAUAUAUAUAUAUAUAUAUAUACACACACAUACACACACACACACACACACACACAUACAUACAUACACAUAUUAGGCGGCACGGUGACUGACUGGUUAGAGCGUCCGCCUGACAGUUCUGAGGACUGAGGUUCAUCCCAGGCCCCGCCUGUGUGGAGUUUGCAUGUUCUCCCCGUGCCGGCGUGGGUUUUCUCCAAGCACUCCAGUUUCCUCCCACAUCCCAAAAACAUGCAUUGUAGGUUAAUUGAAGACUCCAGAUUGCCCGUAGGUGUGAAUGUGAGUGCGAAUGGGUGUUUGUUUGCAUGUGCCCUGCGAUUGGCUGGCAACCAGUUGAGGGUAUACGCCGCCUCCGGCCCGAUAAUAGCUGGGAUAGGCUCCAGCACGCCCGCGACCCUUGUGAGGAGAAGCGGCUCAGAAAAUGGAUGGAUGGAUAUACAUAUUAAAUGACUUGAAAGCCCUAAGUAAUGGGUUCCAACUGUCUUUACAGCAUUUUCUUUGUCAUAUCUUGUUGCUAGUUACUUGUGAUCAUAAUCUACUUUUUUGAUGAAACGUGCUUUUCAUCCUCUUAUUAAAUAAUUUGUAUAUGGGGCAUACAGUUAUCCCCCACUUAGAGGAUUUAUACCCUGGUGAAGGAGAAGAUUUUGUGACCUUGGUCACUGUGUACAGUAUAUAUGAAUAUUUAAAAAAAUUCUCAAUGAAUUAUGUUGAGUUGUUUUGUAUGUUGGGAAUAGUUGCAAUAAGAUGCAAUAAAUAUUCUUAACUUAAAUGUGUUAGUGUUUGUUUCAGAUGAGCCACAGUUGUGAUUACAGUUACUAUUGAUUUCCCUUAGAGUACAGAGAGUUUUUGCCCCCAGGUUUAAAUACAUGAACUUGCCAUGUCAACACAAAACCAAGGCAUGAUAAAUAUUUCAACCAGGAGUGUGCUCUCUAGUUUGAGUGACCCCAGUGAAAACAGUAGAACAUUCACAUGAUCACAUCGGCAGGCGGCCCCAGUGUUCACUGCUCAGUACAUGACUGGAUACUGGGGGUGUUUGUUUGGUUGGUCAUGAGUCAUAAACAGUGGCAGUCCAAGCUCGAAUCGCACCCUGCGUGAAACUCGCCUUUAGCGUCCCCUCAACCCCCCCAACCAACCACGUUUACACAUGCACGCACGCACACCCCGAUGAAAACUACUCUGAACAUUUUAUUUUCUAAAAUAUAAUACAAAAUUACAUAUUUAAUUCAGCAACAGCAAGAAAUAAGUAAAUUAAUAAAACAAACUGAUCAUUAAAACAAAUCUUGCAUUACAUGAUGAAAAAGAAUUAAGGGAACCUAACUGCAUUAAUUUUGGCUUUUGUUUCCCAGCGCGCUUGCUUUCUUUUAAACACCACAAGGGCGUGCAAAUAUAAUGAUUGACAUAUCGCACAAAAGAAAACCAUUUCACAAAGCAAUUUUAUUUUUAAAUAUUGCUGUGUUGAAAGCCAGAGCUUUAUUUCGGUAUAGUUUUGUUGAUACAACUUUUUAAUUGUUGAAGCAUUUUGUUUUAUCACAUUUUAGUUUAGUUUUGUUGACUGCAUAAACACUAAAUAAAAAAUAUAACACUAUUUUCAAAACAUUACACUCAAGCGCAAAAAUAUUGCCUCAGAUUUUUGGUGAUUCUCUAUGUUGACAUUGACUUUGGUUAUAUGGAGAGAAAUAAAUUGCAUUUUCAUCAGGGUGCAGCAAUGGUCGUCUACAGUAUUUGGUGAAUUUACGCAUUGUACUGUAUUUCUGCAGCUAAAGACUGGGCUUCAGAGUAAAGCUACCUCUGGGCCCUAGAGAGAAAGUUGGCCUCCUGCCUAACCUGGUAGUCAUGCAAACGACCAUUUGUUGGCAAAUCAUACCUAAUGCCAUACAGCCCACAGUGUUUUCAUUGUAUCAUGCAAACCACCAUUUCUUACACAAUCAAACCUAACGCCACAAAGACCACAAUGAAAAUUGUGUGCUAAAAAAAGACAAAAAACUGUCAAAACUCAAUACCACCUUGAUAGAAUACAGUCGUCAGCUCUGGGGUAACCCUUACAGGAUGGUGAAUGUGGUGUACACACAUGCUUCCACUAGAUGGUGCUAUAUUAAAGGAUCCAUAAAUACAGACUGCUGUCAAUCACUUACCACCAACAAGUACAAAUAAAAGUAACUGGGUUCAAAAAGGCUUACUGCUGGACAAUAGCUUGUUCAUACUGGAAUGGUCUUCUAUAUUUAGUUUCACUGUUCAUUGGAACAUCAGCAUUUUUGACCGGGUACACUGGUUUAACCUCUUAUUAGGAAACGCAAGGACAGAAGACAUUUGAGGAGGGUGGACAAAAGAUUACAGAGUCAAAGAGUCUUCUUGCAAAAUGACUCAUGGCGUCUCUCCACUGUUACUCCUGCUACUGCUGUUUUCUUUGUACGGAUCAAUUCAUGGAUGCCUGCAGGAUCCUGUCCAAGCCUACAGAUUCACUGGAGCCGCGUGUCGUCUCACAUACCCUGCAGCUGUAGUGUUGAAUGAGAAAACCACCAAAGUGAUAGAGGCAGCAUUUCAGCAUGCCAGAUAUCCAGGUGUUAAAGCAGAGAAUACAGUGCUCUUCAUUGGCAAAGUAUCAUAUGGCCUUGAAAAUUUGGAAAUUCACAACCUGACAAUUGGUCAGAGCUCCUUUGAGCUUCGUCCGGGUGAAGGCAUCUCCAUGGAGAUAAGCAAUGUAUCCGCAGUCUUCACAGGGACCAUACAUUAUGGAUAUGGCAGUUGGCUAGUCAAUAUUGCUCAAUCAAUUGAUUUUGAGAUUGAGUCACAGACUGACCUUGGAAUCAACCCCAAACUUUAUUGUGGUAAGGGGAAGGUAGCAGCAGACACAUCAUCUUGUUACUUGAACUUUGACAAGCUGCAUUUACACCUGCAUGGAGCGAGAGAACCAAACUGGCUCAAGAGGCUCUUCACUGACUUCAUCACGUUUACUGUCAAACUAGUCAUCAAGGGACAGAUUUGUAAGGAGAUCAACAAAGUGGCAAACAUAUUAGCCGACUUCAUACAGGAGAGAGCAGAGCAGUUCCUCAGUGACGGUGACAUCACAGUAGAUAUCGGUGUGACCGCUGCGCCCACCAUCACUGCUAACUACAUAGAAUCAUACCACAAGGGGCUCACCAACUAUAAUGACUCUUCUGCUGUCAUUAGUGAUUCAACUUUCAACCCCAGGCAGCUGACUGACAACAGGAUGCUCUAUUUUUGGAUCUCAGACCGCGUCUUAAACCCUUUGAUGACAGCUGCCCACCAAGAUGGUCGCUUCCGGCUCAACAUCACUGGAGCAGAGUUGAUUGAACUUUUCAAGACAAACGUCUCGACAACCAUGCCUGACUUUUUUAAAAAGUGCCUUUCAGAAACAAGUUAUUCCGAAUUACACGUGUGGAGUUCGUCUGUGCCCCGCAUGAACACUUCCACCUCUGGGACAACUGUCUGGGCUGAGGCCUCUGGCCAGCUGCGGUGUGAACGUCAAGAAACGCUCUUCUUUCAAACGUUCAUCACCACUACUGUCACAGCUUCUUAUGCCAACAAACACGUCUUACUGCACAGCAAACCUUUAGAGAUUGUUGUACUACAUGCUGAUUUAUACCAAAAUCCUCUGAAAGAUCAAGCGCAACUGGAUUUCAUACAAGAAACCGUGACGAAGAUAGGCCUCCCCAAGGUGUUGUCUGAUCAUCGCCUGCCACCGUGGGGGACCUAGGUUCAAAACCCCGACUGGACCACCGCCAACAUCCCCCGGACUCACGGCUGUGGUGUCCUUGAGCAAGACACUGAUACCCCAAAAAUGCUCCCCGGGCGCUUCAGCUGCCCCCUGCUCCAGUGUGUUCCACUAACAUGUGUCGUAGGAGGGGUCCCUCCCACAGCCAUCAUAGGCCAAUGUGACCAGCUUGUACCACCUGAUUGGCUGGUACAAGUGUCAGUCCAAAAGUCUCGAGGCAGUCGGUCAUGUUCAGGUGUUCAAUCAUUCAAUUACCAUGCAUGGAAGGAACUCAAAGACAACACCCAAAAUAAUGUAAACUAAACCAAACAGUCAAGCAUUGAAACAAACAUUUAAUACAUAACAAACAAAUUCCAUAAUUUCUCGUGUAUAAUGCGCAGCCAUGUAUAAGACGAACCCCCAAAGUGGACCUAAAAAUUCUGGAAAACCCUUCCACCCAUGUAUAAUGCAUUUUUACAAUCCAUGAUUUUGCUUCUACCCAUAUGAUCAAAACAUAAAGUAUUAUCUGUAUUUUGUUAGGUUUUUCUUUCAAAUAAUUAUUCUGAGGUUAAGCACUUUAUUUGAACACGUAAUAGUUUUUUUUAAAUUAAAGUGCUUUAAUUUUGAAAUGCACAUCCCUACUUUUAUUUAGUAAAAUAGAAUGUUUGAUUACCGAGGCAGAAUUUGUAAGAAUUUAUACAAUUCUUUAAAGAAAAGAUGAAGGACCAGGCGAAACAGAUUGAAUUUUAUUUUAAUGGGAUUAAAAUUAAACUGUCAAGCAUUUCAGAAAAGCAUUAUCAUUGAACAAAAGAUAACCAUAAAGAAAUUAAUGAUGGUUGUUGUUCAGUCGGCGGCACGGUGGCCGACUGGUUAGAGCGUCAGCCUCACAGUUCUGAGGACCCGGAUUCAAUCCCCGGUCCCGCCUGUGUGGAGUUUGCAUGUUCUCCCCGUUAAAAAACAAAACAAUAUUUCACAAAUUCUGCCAGGGAAUGUAAACUUAUAGGCACAACUGUACAUAUAUGCAGUCAUACGUACACCUCUGUCAUAUUGGAAUGAAAGUGUAGGCUACACCUUUUUCAUAACCACUAGAUGGCGUUGGCAUUUUGGAAUGAAAGUGCACACCUUUUUCAUAACCACUCGGUGGCGGCAUACAUUUAUAAAAUGUGAACGUGUUUUCCCGUUUGCCCCUAUACCUAUGUAUAAUGCGCACUAUUGACUUUUGACAAUUUCUUAGGGGGGGGGGGGGAAAUACGCAUUAUACACGAGAAAUUACAGUAGUCAAAACACAACUGAACCACUCAACUGAUAAAUCACAGCACAACAAUUACAUCUGAGUUGAAUGGACAGUGGUCCUCUUCUAUG